This 68-nucleotide transfer RNA is filed under the name Glottidia pyramidata. RNAcentral describes it as "tRNA-Ser". Lineage: Eukaryota; Metazoa; Brachiopoda; Lingulata; Lingulida; Lingulidae. The record is from RNAcentral.
GGUCGGUAGUCCAUGGGGGCACGGAGUUUUGAAAGCUCAGGUAUGGCGUUCGAUUCGUCAACCGGCUU